RNAcentral lists this long non-coding RNA (307 nucleotides) under Panax ginseng (ginseng). RNAcentral's name for it is "long non-coding RNA (PGIN_LNC012338)". Lineage: Eukaryota; Viridiplantae; Streptophyta; Magnoliopsida; Apiales; Araliaceae. The record is from RNAcentral.
UACUAGAAUUAGCAAAACCAACCCAAGAGAUGCCCAAAAGGUUUAUCAUGGAGUGCAAUAGGAAACAUGCAUGUAUCAAUAUAGUGUAAUUCUCCCCACUCCAAUUUACUAUAUGCAAUGAUAGCCAUGAAUAUGUGCUACAGUAGAGUGAAACCAUUGUGGUGGCAAGAUGGUCUAGAAUAGAAGUGCUUGGACAUGGUGAUACGUGUGCAUGUGGACAAGAUUAAUGGUUCAGGCAAUUCAUCAAACAUUUAAGAGGCAACUCAUAAAUUACUCAGAAUUUCACUAAGUUACUAUCAAUUCAUAC